RNAcentral lists this unclassified non-coding RNA (3421 nucleotides) under Daphnia pulicaria. RNAcentral describes it as "uncharacterized LOC124312836, transcript variant X4". Lineage: Eukaryota; Metazoa; Arthropoda; Branchiopoda; Diplostraca; Daphniidae. The record is from RNAcentral.
CUAUUACUAUUUCAUUGACAGCGACUCUUAGUCUGUGGUAAAGGCAUGGUGCAAUUGGUGCACGGUGCAGAUUGUGGAAAGCAUGCCAAAAGUCCGAAACCCUGAAAGCUUGUUAUAAACAAGAAAAUGUUAUCUCCGGAUCCGGUAAGACGUGAGCUGAUAGAAAGCGAUUAUAAAACGGAAUAUGUACCUUUCCGUCCUUUCACGAACACACGAGUUCGAAACGUUCUCAAGGAUUUCUGUUUUGUAGGAAAUAUUACCGACGUGGAUAAAGUGGCCAAGGUUCUUUUAUUGGGUUGUGGUGAUCUAAGAAAUACCUUUCAAGCAACAACUUCCAAGAAUCCUCAAAAGUUAGAGAUUCAUCUCAACGAUUUUCAUCCUUCUGUCUUGGCUCGAAAUAUCAUAAUUUUGAAAAUUGUCUCAGCAAGUGAUUUCAAUCCCGACAAUGAUGAAGAUUUUGGUUUUCUGUGGGAUGUGUGGUACAAUAUGGAUUGGCCAGAAGAAACCAGGAAGAGGUUUCUUUCUGUUGUGAAGGAGUUGUUGAAUGAGAAAUUACCAGAUAAUGUCUCAAUUCCAAACAAUAGUCACCUUGAAAAAUUGAAGAGUUUGUGGAGCAACUGGCAUAUUGUUUCCUCCAAAAACAAACCCGAUUCUGAAUCACUCUUGAGAAAAGUCUGGGGACAAAGGAAUCAGUGCUUGCUGGACUUGUGGGAUGUCAUGUAUCCAGGACUUUUACAAGAAAAAGCAGAACUAAACAAUGCUGAUCUCUUCGCUGCCUCACUAAAUGAACUGGUUAAGCAGUUUCAACUUCGUGAAGGGUUCAUAGGAUUUGCUCCUUUUGUUAAAAAAAAGAUUAGCAAUGAAGUGCUUGAAUACUACAGAAACGGCAGCAGCCACCUUAAAAAAAACCACAGCAAACCAGUGUGCGUCAACCCAACUUUGCUGAUCCCCAAGACCCAUGAUUGGAAAAUUUACUCCUUAUUUACUCCGUUUGAUAGUUAUCUGCCAAUGGAAAAAGGAGAGCUGAUUACUUCAGAUGAACAAAUCAUGACCCACUCCUGCUCCGAAAUACUCAAGAGGUUGGUGUCUUCCUAUCGCAGCCGGAUUCCAACAGUCAAAAUCGUUUUUCACUUAGAAGAAGCCUUAAAACAUUGCUACUCAGACGCAAACAAGUUUGACGUCAUCGACUGCUCUGGUUUCGUGAGUCGUGUUGGGUUAGCCAAUUUAGUUGUUGCAUGCUGCCAAAAGUUGUCGGACAACCCGAAUGCAAUUUUUUACACCACAAUAAUAACUGACAGUCAUCAUUCGGCUAACAAUAUCGUCGAGACAUCCCUUUGUGCUCCAUUGAGUAUGAUUCCGACUAUUUACGGGUUGAGAUUGGCUGACCAUGUUGAAUUAAGGGAUUCUGCCGUAGAUUACUUGCGUUGCAAUACCCAUCGAAAAAGACGCCCAGUGAUUCUUUGCUGGGAGAAAGUACCAAAAUUUCAGAACAUAAAAUUGGACCCUUCACCUGAUUUAAAUCGAUGCCUAACAAAGUUGGCCAAACUUUGUCAUCAAAUAACAUUACCAAAUCCUGUAUCUCCAACAAACAGUGACACAAACAGUGCUGGAAGUGAAAUCUACUACACUCCCCUAACAUUCAACUACAUUUUGGAUUCAAUGACCAAGCGGCUGGGACAUGAUUGUUGGUUACCAGAUAUACGUCAGCUUGAAAUUGCUCCCCAAUUCAUUCUGGCAAGAGAAACAUUGGAGGAUUGGAAGAAUGGGAAGAAAAUGAUGAAAUUGUCAGCUGUUAUUCAGUCCAUAGUGAUGUCUAAUGAAGAGCCUUCCCCUCUAAUUCGGCUAGUUUUGGUCCGGAAAGCUUCUUUUGUUCUUAGUCGUGACUUAUCCGGACCCGAUGUUCACUUCAUCGAAAAUUUUGAAUUUGAAUUCAAUCAUACUUCAAAAGGAAUAAAACUGGAGACUGUGUCGUUUUUACUGGCUUGUGAUCAUGGUUUCGAUGAAACGUACACUGCGAUUGUUGUCAAUGCUUUCAAUGGAAUGCCACUACUACUCUUAGAGUCUUUUAAAUCAAUGCGGGUAGAGGAAUAUCUUGUACCUUACCCGAUUGGUCAAAACAAACCUCAACUUCUACUGGAUCCUAAAAAUAAAAUGUACAUGAAGGUCGAAAGUUGUAUCGAGUCAGAAGAACAGUACACCCUUAGGAUUGCCAUUGAAUGUGAUGGAAACGUUUCAGGAUUGAAGAUAUCCACUAACGAGGAGGCCCCCUGCGAAUCCUGCCAUGACGUCACAGUUUCAUUGACUCAACCCAGCGAAAUCAAACCUUUGUCAUUAACAUUUCCAUUUCCGAUCCUUGCGAAUAAUGUUCAAGCAACGCUCCAUCCAAAUAGUCGACAUGUCGAUUUGUUGUUGAAGAAAUCCCUGCUGGAGCCCUGGCCGUGCGAGUUUCACAAUAAAAAGUCUAAAUGGAUAAUUGGCGAUUUAGUUCCCUGGAAAAACAAGCCACUCAACUCUGAAGAAAGAUGCAAGAAUGUGGAACACCAUCUGAGCAGUCAAUUUUUAUCGGAGGAAGUUAGUGUUGCCCAUUUUCGUGAUUCAAAGUGUUCUGCUUUGGAUAAAUUGCGUCUCAACCUUAUGAUAUUGGUGACCAGUGAUGCUGAAUUUGCCAGUUACGGUCGAAAUGACGAUUGUUACCUACUGAAACUCCAUCGGCCCCUUCUUACUUCCCCAACGGGAACCCCAAUUUUGCUGAUUACUGCUCUCAAUGGUAUCCUUUCGCGAAAACUUGGACAGAAUGUUUAUAUGAUUAAACCAACUGUGCCUAAAGAAAAAGAAACGGAUCAGCGUAAGAUUUUUGCGAAAGUUUUUCCACUUGGGACACCCAACAACAUUCAGAAGAAAAUGGAUGCCGAGAGCGAAGAAGAAUUUCAAUUGUUUCGUUUUCUCCUGCGUUUGAACUCCACUAGAAUCGUGCCCAGUAAAUGGCAGAAGAAGAAUAUUCCUCUAGGAGGUAGCAGUCCUUGGCUUGCUACUUUCCUUUCGCCUCUCUACCAGGAUUCCGUAUUGAAGAAAAGCAUCAAGGAAGAACCAGCUGACGAGAAGUGCUGUGCCGCUUGUAAGAAAAUCCCUGAGAAGUUGAAGUUUUGCAGUCGUUGCCGUUCCACUGUUUACUGCAGUGUCGAGUGUCAGCAUUCUCAUUGGCCAAUGCACAAACUCAUCUGCAAGAAAUUGUAAUUUGGUCGAAACUUAUCGCAGCUUAAUCCGUGAGUUAUUGAUUAGCCUGAAAUUUAAAAUCAAAAUUUGGUUAAUUAUUUGGAUGGCUUUAGUAGUUUAGUUCACGGAAAACUGUUGAUGUCUUGAUGCACAGUUGAAACUUUUUUGUAUUGAAUAACCAAGAUUACACUUUUUAUUACAUCAACUU